This is an RNA transcript of Chlorocebus sabaeus (green monkey), 5589 nucleotides long. It is a transcript of the gene named chloride voltage-gated channel 6, with no coding region annotated. Lineage: Eukaryota; Metazoa; Chordata; Mammalia; Primates; Cercopithecidae. The record is from RefSeq and is a predicted model, not a curated record.
AGUCCCAGAGCUCGAGAGGGCCACGUGACCGUCCCGGGACCAGUCACGUGAGGCGCAGAUCCUGGGUGGGAGGGGGUGGUAGAGGGGUCCAGAGUAGCAGUAAAGGAGGAAGAUGGCGGGAUGCAGGGGGUCUCUGUGCUGCUGUUGCAGGUGGUGCUGCUGCUGCGGUGAGCGUGAGACCCGCACCCCCGAGGAGCUGACCAUCCUUGGAGAAACACAGGAGGAGGAGGAUGAGAUUCUUCCAAGGAAAGACUAUGAGAGUUUGGAUUAUGAUCGCUGUAUCAAUGACCCUUACCUGGAAGUUUUGGAGACCAUGGAUAAUAAGAAAGGUCGAAGGUAUGAGGCGGUGAAGUGGAUGGUGGUGUUUGCCAUUGGAGUCUGCACUGGCCUGGUGGGUCUCUUUGUGGACUUUUUUGUGCGACUCUUCACCCAACUCAAGUUCGGAGUGGUACAGUCAUCGGUGGAGGAGUGUAGCCAGAAAGGCUGCCUCGCUCUCUCUCUCCUUGAACUCCUGGGUUUUAACCUCACCUUUGUCUUCCUGGCAAGCCUCCUUGUUCUCAUUGAGCCCGUGGCAGCAGGUUCUGGGAUACCCGAGGUCAAAUGCUAUCUGAAUGGUGUGAAGGUGCCAGGAAUCGUCCGUCUACGGACCCUGCUCUGCAAGGUCCUUGGAGUGCUGUUCAGUGUGGCCGGAGGGCUCUUUGUGGGGAAGGAAGGCCCCAUGAUCCACAGUGGUUCAGUGGUAGGAGCUGGCCUCCCUCAGUUUCAGAGCAUCUCCUUAAGGAAGAUCCAGUUUAACUUCCCCUAUUUCCGUAGCGACAGAGACAAGAGAGACUUUGUAUCAGCAGGAGCGGCUGCUGGAGUUGCUGCAGCUUUCGGGGCCCCAAUCGGGGGUACCUUGUUCAGUCUAGAGGAGGGUUCGUCCUUCUGGAACCAAGGGCUCACAUGGAAAGUGCUCUUUUGUUCCAUGUCUGCCACCUUCACCCUCAACUUCUUCCGUUCUGGGAUUCAGUUUGGAAGCUGGGGUUCCUUCCAGCUCCCUGGAUUGCUGAACUUUGGCGAGUUUAAGUGCUCUGACUCUGAUAAAAAAUGUCAUCUCUGGACAGCUAUGGAUUUGGGUUUCUUCGUCGUGAUGGGGGUCAUUGGGGGCCUCCUGGGAGCCACAUUCAACUGUCUGAACAAGAGGCUUGCAAAGUACCGUAUGCGAAACGUGCACCCGAAACCUAAGCUCGUCAGAGUCUUGGAGAGCCUCCUGGUGUCUCUGGUAACCACCGUGGUGGUGUUUGUGGCCUCGAUGGUGUUGGGAGAAUGCCGACAGAUGUCCUCCUCGAGUCAAAUCGGUAAUGACUCAUUCCAGCUCCAGGUCACAGAAGAUGUGAAUUCAAGUAUCAAGACAUUUUUUUGUCCCAAUGAUACCUACAAUGACAUGGCCACACUCUUCUUCAACCCUCAGGAGUCUGCCAUCCUCCAGCUCUUCCACCAGGACGGCACUUUCAGCCCCGUCACUCUGGCCUUGUUCUUCAUUCUCUAUUUCUUGCUUGCAUGUUGGACUUACGGCGUUUCUGUUCCAAGUGGCCUUUUUGUGCCUUCUCUACUGUGUGGAGCUGCUUUUGGACGUUUAGUUGCCAAUGUCCUAAAAAGCUACAUUGGAUUGGGCCACAUCUAUUCGGGGACCUUUGCCCUGAUUGGUGCAGCGGCUUUCUUGGGCGGGGUGGUCCGCAUGACCAUCAGCCUCACGGUCAUCCUGAUUGAGUCCACGAAUGAGAUCACCUACGGGCUUCCCAUCAUGGUCACACUGAUGGUGGCCAAAUGGACAGGGGACUUUUUCAAUAAGGGCAUUUAUGAUAUCCACGUGGGCCUGCGAGGCGUGCCGCUUUUGGAAUGGGAGACAGAGGUGGAAAUGGACAAGCUGAGAGCCAGCGACAUCAUGGAGCCCAACCUGACCUACGUCUACCCGCACACCCGCAUCCAGUCUCUGGUGAGCAUCCUGCGCACCACGGUCCACCACGCCUUCCCGGUGGUCACAGAGAACCGCGGCAACGAGAAGGAGUUCAUGAAGGGCAACCAGCUCAUCAGCAACAAUAUCAAGUUCAAGAAAUCCAGCAUCCUCACCCGGGCCGGCGAGCAGCGCAAACGGAGCCAGUCCAUGAAGUCCUACCCCUCCAGCGAGCUGCGGAACAUGUGUGAUGAGCACAUCGCCUCUGAGGAGCCGGCCGAGAAGGAGGACCUCCUGCAGCAGAUGCUGGAGAGGAGUCCCCGAGUGAAGACUGGACCAUGGAGGAGCGCUUCCGCCCUCUGACCUUCCACGGCCUGAUCCUUCGGUCACAGCUUGUCACCCUGCUUGUCCGAGGAGUUUGUUACUCUGAAAGCCAGUCGAGCGCCAGCCAGCCGCGCCUCUCCUACGCCGAGAUGGCCGAGGACUACCCGCGGUACCCUGACAUCCACGACCUGGAUCUGACGCUGCUCAACCCGCGCAUGAUCGUGGAUGUCACCCCAUACAUGAACCCUUCGCCUUUCACCGUCUCACCCAACACCCACGUCUCCCAAGUCUUCAACCUGUUCAGAACGAUGGGCCUGCGCCACCUGCCCGUGGUGAAUGCCGUGGGAGAGAUCGUCGGGAUCGUCACACGGCACAACCUGACCUCUGAAUUUCUGCAGGCCCGGCUGAGGCAGCACUACCAGACCAUCUGACGGCCCAGCCCGCCCUCUCCCGGGGCUGCCUGGGGAGGCAGCUUAUGCUCGCUCCGGCUGGCACAACUGGCUGGGGCUGUUCCGGGGCAUGGAAGAUUCCCAGUCACCCACUCAGAAAGCCUGGAGUCAUCGGAUACCUUGCUGGUCAGAGGUCCUGGGGGUGGUUUUGAACCGUCAGAGCUUGGACUUAGAUUCUGACUUCCCCAGCAAGGAUCUUCCCACUUCCUGCUCCCCGUGUUCCCACCCUCCAGUGUUGGCACAGGCCCACCCCUGGCCCCACCAGAGCCAGAAGCAGAGGUGGAAUUAGGCGGGCCCCGGGCUGCACUCCGAGCCGUGUUCCUGGCCGUCUUCGCUACUUUCCUAGAGAACCUGGCUGUUGCCUUAAAUGUGUGAGAGGGACUUGGCCAAGGCAAAAGCUGGGGAGACGCCAGUGACAACAUUCAGUUCAUGACUAGAUUUAGGAAUUGGGCACUGAGAAAAUUCUCCGUAUUUUAGAGAGACCUUCCCUUGUUUGGGACUCCGAACACGGCAUCCUCGCUGGUUUGUUUUAAGGGAAACACUGUACUUACUCCUGGGUGUGGGCAGAGGCUCUGGUCUUGCCCCUGUGGUUUGACUUUCCUUAGAACCACCACCCACCAGAAAUACAAAGCAUUAAAAUCACACUAAUAACCCCCGAUGGUCAAUCUGAUAAUAGGAUCAGAUUUACAUCUACCCUAGUUCUUAACAUUUCAGCUUUCUCUCCAUCUGCAGGUUAUUCCCAGUCUCCCAGUAACACGUUGCUACCCAGACCCUUUUCAUUUCCUUAAGUUUUGAUCUCCGUCUUCCUGCUGAAGCAGGCAGAGCUCAGAGGAUCUUGGCAUCACCCACCAAAGUUAGCUGAAAGCAGGGCACUCCUAGGUAAAGCAGCUUCACUGAACUCUGGGGAAUGGUGCCAUUUUUUUCCAAGGUAGAAAGGAAGCACUUCUGAGCCAGUGGCCACUGAAAGGUGUGUGCUAUGAUAAAGCAGAUGGCCUACUCGAGGAAGAGGGUGUCCGCCCUUCACAAACACCUCUUUCUCCCCUGCACUAGCCGUCCCACGCUUACAUACAGAGGCCCUUCAGGAGGGCCUCCGCGCCGCAGGGAGGGUGCGUGGCGAGGAUGCUUCCUGCCAGCACACGCCUGAAGGUUUCGCGUGAAGCGUGGGAACUACCCCAUUGUUCAGUGACAUCAUUCUUCUCCAGGCUGGCUGGCCCCCUCUGACUAGGCCCCCAAAGUGAGCAUCUGGGCAUCGGGUAUUUGCACUUAUCUUCCCCCACCUUCUCCAUGGCAUCUCCGUUCCAGCAGGCAUCCCUGGGGCAGGCGUGCUUUGGCUCAAGAUGGCCUUCAUUUACGUUUAGCUUUUUUCAAAACCAUGGAGGUUGCCCACGGGCCUCGGCACCCGGCCCUGGCAGCACAGCUCUCUCAGGCCCAGCCCUGGGCGACCUCCUUGGCCAAGGCUGCCUUUCACCCUGGGGUGGGCAUCAGUCCUGGCUCUGCCGGUCCAGAUCUUGCACUCAGCACACUCUAGGGAAUAAUUCCACUCCAGAGACAGGGCUGCUUCGAGGUCUUUCUCCAGCUGACAGUGGCCCCUCCAUUUUCCCCAUUUUCUUACCACUCCGACCAAAAUUGCUUUGACUUCUAAAUGUUUCUGCUUCCCAGAAUGCACCUGGCUUGUGAAACGGGGAUGAUACUCCCAGGAAAUAGUGCAGGACAUCACAAGGACCCAAAAGGCAAUUCUUACUUAAAUGUGACUGUUUGGCCAGCUGCUGCUGUGUUUUAUGGCAGUGUUCAGAGCUUGAUCACAUUAUUUCCUCCUUUUAUUAAGAAGGAAGCCAAUUGUCCAAGUCAGGAGAAUGGUGUGAUCACCUGUCACAGACACUUCAUCCCCUCUCCCUGCCCCUUCCCAGAGCUGGCAGAGCUAACGCCCUGCAGGAGGACCCCGGCCUCUCGAGGGCUGGAUCAGCAGCUGCCUGCCUCGAGGCUGCCCUGGUGAAUGUUGCUGGAAUUCAUCCCUCGUGCACAUCCUGUUGUGUUUAAGUCACCAGAUAUUUUGUUCCCAUCAGUUUAGCCCAGAGAUAGACAGUAGAAUGCGAAUACCUCCCUCCCGUAAACUGACUGGACGGCUGCCAAGGAGGCCCCAAACCCAGCCCCAUGCAGAGGCACGUGGUUUCCUGUUCUCUCUGCAUCUGCCCUUUCCAGAUAAGCCCAAAGACAACAACUUCUCCACUCGUGACAAAUCAACUGUGAGCCUCGCUCCUUCCAUUUCUGUCCAUUAGAAACCAGCCUUUUCAGCACCUCACCCAUGAGCCGCCCCACCACCCAGCGAUCAGGCGCCUCAGUAAGGCAGAUCCGCGGAUGGGGAGCCUGCGGGUGGCCAGAGGUGGUGUUUGUGUUUGUCUCCAGCUCGGUGUUCCAUGGCUUCUAGGCGAGGUGAUCAGGGAGUGGGGCCAGUGGGUCCCCGGCCCUGGCUGUGGGACCUUGUGCUGAGGGAUGAUUUGCUGCUGACCUUGAUUAACUUAACAGUUCCCAGCUGGAAGGGACACUUUCUGGACCCAGUCCACUGUAUGGCAUUGGUGAUGCAGAAUUAUGCACUGACGUGACCCUGGGUGACAGGAAAGCCUUUCGAGAGGCCCACGGUGGCCUCGCCAGCCCUGCAGUGUUGAUGUGCCGUAUUGCCCCACGGCUCUGCAGACCUUGGCCUUUGCCGCAGUCAGCUUCCUUUUUUCUGUUUGCACUGUUUGUAUGAUGUUAGCUAAUUCCACUGUGUAUAUAAAUUGUAUUUUUUUUAAUUUGUAAAAUGCUAUUUUUAUUUGAACCUUUGGAACUUGGAAGUUCUCAUUGUAACCCUAACAUGUCAGAAUAAAAUGUCUUCUGUCUCCUUUA